AUCAAGAAAUUGCAGUGGGUUAUCAGAAUUUAUUAACAUCAGUGUCACUAAAGUUGGUAUACAACCUCCCACUGCUAAAUUUGACUGGCUUAAA
This 94-nucleotide small RNA is filed under the name Propithecus coquereli (Coquerel's sifaka). Its description in RNAcentral is "Y RNA (ENSPCOG00000004828.1)". Lineage: Eukaryota; Metazoa; Chordata; Mammalia; Primates; Indriidae. The record is from RNAcentral.